ACCACGAGCCCACUCAGAAGCUUCAAGAUCCUCGCUUAAGCUUCGAUUACGACGAAGCAAGAAAGGACAUGAAGGAGCCAGCAUUAAGGUAAGUCACUUUCUCCUUAUUUUCUAUGAAAAAUCUAUAUGUAGGAACAAAGAAAAAAAAAACUAAAUCAGAACAUGGAAAAAUAAAUAUGAAAUCACCUUAGUUUUUCAUUGAUUUUUCUUUUGUAUCUAGUAUUUCGUAAUCCCUAUUUUUACAGAUUACAUUUGGUUUUAUAGUCGAAGAGAAGAAAAAAUAAGAAUAAAUCAAAAAAAUCCAAUUUCUUUGCUGUUAUUUCUAUUUCUCAUAUAUUCUGUUGCAGGUACAAACGGAGCCAGCUGGAGGUGGUGACGUACGUGGGAUGAGGCAUGAAGACGCAUGUGGGGCUGGUACGGAGGCAGCUGCGGUUCGAUGGAAGCUGCUGGAAACCAGUUACGGCACAAUGGAAAAAGGACCUUAGGGUUCCAAAAGUUUCAAUCUGCUUGGGCCAUUUCGGCCAAUUUCGGAAUUAGGCCAUUAGGUCUAUAAAUUAAGUUUAGCUUGGGUAAUAAUUUGGGCUAAAAACUUGUAUUUGGGUCUGGUGAAAAUUGUAAUGAAUUAUUUGGAUUUUGGGCUUUAAUUAAUUUGGGACUUUUAUUGUUUUUUUUUAUAUUUUGGUUUUUUAUUAUUAUCUUUUAGUUUCAUAGUGGGCCGGGCAAAUUGGGUCUGCUACAUCUGGCCCUCUUUGCUCAUUGUCGUGUAACAAGAAUGGAGCAGACUUUAAAAUGAUCGAUUUUUCCCGGUCUUAUUGAAUACUGGCUUUUUGGCUCUCUUUUUCUUCAUGUAGCCUCACUUUAAUCCACCGCUGGAACUUCAAGGAGAAUGGAAUUAUUAAUUUCAACCUGCUCCACUGCAACUUCAGGGAGACAAGGUUGAUGACUUAAAUCUGUUCCAUUGCCGAUACAUGGAGAUAAGAUUCGCUGUCUUCGAUCUGCUCCACUAUUGCUUAGGGAGAUAAGAUCUUCAAUCUCCAGUCUGCUUCCUUGCUACCUUAAGAAGAUAAGACUACAAUCACCAACCUGCUCUCUUGUUACCUCAGAGAGAUAAGGCUAGUAACUAAAAUCUGCUCCAUUGUCGAUACAUGGAGAUAAGAUUCGCCAUCUUCGAUCUGCUCCACUACUGCUUAGGGAGAUAAGAUCUUCCAUCUUCAGUCUGUUUCCCUGCUACUUCAAGAAGAUAAGACUACAAUUGCCAACCUGCUCUCUUGCUACCUCAGAGAGAUAAGGCCAGUGACUAAAAUAUGCUCCAUUGUAGAUACAUAGAGAUAAGAUUCGCCACAUUCGAUCUGCUCCACCACUACUUAGGGAGAUAAGAUCCUCAAUCUUCAGUCUGUUUCCUGCAACCUCAGGAAGAUAAGACUACCAUCUUCAACCUGCUCUCUUGCUACCUCAGAGAGAUAAGGCUAGUGGCUAAAAUUUGCUCCAUUGUUGAUACAUGGAGAUAAGAUUCGCCAUCUUCGAUCUGUUCCACUACUGCUUAGGGAGAUAAGAUCUUCAAUCCUCAGUCUGCUUCCUUACUACAUCAGAAAGAUAAGAUUACAAUCUCUAACCUGCUCUCUUGCUACCUCAAAGAGAUAAGGGUGGUGGCUUAAAUCUGCUCCAUUGCUGAUACAUGGAGAUAAGAUUCGCCAUCUUCGAUCUGUUUCACUACUGUUUAGGGAGAUAAGAUCCUCAAUCUUCAGUCUGCUUUCUUGCUACGUCAGAAAUAUAAGACUCAAUCUUCAACCUGCUCUCUUGCUACCUCAGAGAGAUAAGGCUGAUGCUUAAACCUACUCCAUUUCCAAUACAUGGAGAUAAGAUUCACCGUCUUUGGUCUGUUCCACCGUAACUUCAGGGAGAUAAGACCUGUCACUUCAACCUGCCCCACUACAACUUCAAGGAGAUAAGGUUUGCUAUAAUCUUCUAUCUAUUCCACUGCAACUUCAGAGAUAUAAGAUCUAACUUUAUCAAUGUUACUACACCGUCCUCUUGGACAUGUCCUGUUGACUCGGUUUCAUGUAUCAUGCUUAUGCCAAAUAAUUAGGAUGCUAUGAUCAAAAUGAAUCAAAUGCUCCUAACUAGAUGUGAUGCUUAUGUCAACUAAUUAGGACACUAUAAUCGAAAUGAAUCAAAUGUUCCUAACUAGAUAUGAUGCUUAUGUCAAAUAAUUAGGAUGCUAUGAUCGAAAUGAAUCAAAUGCUCCUAACUAGAUGUGUUAUGAAUGAUAUAUGAAUGCCAAAAUGAGAAUGAUUUUUUUAAAUGAUCUUUUUUUUUUAAAAUGCUUAAGGUAUCAUCGCUCAUUGUUCAUCUAGGCAUUAUCACUAAUUUAUUAUGCUGGCAUCUUGUUCGGUUGGUAUUCUUGACAGAAAACCCAAAGAAACAAUCACAUUCUGCUCAGCAAGCUUACCCCGCUGUGAUUCCAAUGUCCCUUACACUGUAACUUCUGGGACAUAAAGUUUGAACUUCCCACUGCAACUUCAAGGGAAUAAUCAUUUGAUUUCUUCUAUCCAUUUUGCAUAAUCUUCAAUCAAUUUGAUAUGUUAUACCAUUUCCUGGGUGUAAUGAACAAAUAUAUAUGUCUGAUAUCUGCAUGAAUGUAGAAUGCCAUUUUUCUUUUCUCAAGAAUAACCCUAUUACUCGUUCUUUUUCGGGAUUAUAACACCAAUUAAUAUCUUUGACAGAAAAUUCAAGGAGAUAAUCUCAAUUUCGGCUUAAAUAUUUCCAACCCUUAAGCUUGGUGAGUUUUAGACAAUAGUCCUGUUUCAAGCUCCUGUAUUAUUUAGAAACUUCCCCAAGUAAUAUGCGAACCCUUUUUAUGAAAGUAUUAUUAGUCAAAAAAUCUUUAUUUCAAUGCAGAAUGCUUGAAAAAGAUCAUAACCAUGGACAAGAAAGGAAUUAAUUGAGAAUAUAGCUCGAAACAAGCAAAUGCAAUCCAAAAAAAAAAUUUAUUGGGACGUGACCUGGAAAGAAUAAGGUAAUCAAAGAUAACAACAAAAAAAGGGGUAAAAAUAGAAAGCUAGGUGCCUUAAAUAUCGCAGCUUGAGCUUUUUUGUACCAACUUCUUAAGGACCAUUCUGAGCUCAAUCUGUGUUUAGGGGAUCCGAAGUACUUUGUCGAUGCCCCAAGAUGUAACAUACUUCUUUCAUUGUUAAUUCAGGCAUAGCAAGACUACUGUAUGCCCCAUUUUGAUCCAAAUUUGAGCCGCUCUUUUCGGGUUUUCAACUCAAAUCCCCUUUGGUCUCAAAGCGCCCUUUGCUGGUUUUCGCCUUGGCCUCUCCUUUUCUUUUUAUCUUUUUUUUUAUUUUUUUUUAUUUUUUUAUUGAUUCUUUUUUUAUUUUUUCUCUCCUUUUUUUAUUUUAAUUUUUUUAUUUCGAUUUUUUUAAGGUCUCAAGGCACCCUUUGCGGGUUUUCACAUUGGCCUCUCCCCUUUUAAGUAGAAUAUUCAUUGACUGGAUGUGCCAUCCGUCUUGGUCAAUAUCAAUGCUCCUUCAGAACAGACCCUCUUUACUACAUAAGGUCCCUCCUAAUUUGGCAUAUUUCUUCCUUUAAAGUCCUUUCGUAUAAGAAUCAUCCUCUUCAAUAUCGAGUUCCCUUCAUGGAAUUUUCUUAUAUCAUUCAUUUCUGGUGCAUCGGACCACGACAGAAUCUCCUCUCUUCUAAUUCAACUGAUCAUAUCGAGUUUAGAUCCAUUUUGCCUUAUCCAACUUUAACUCUGACAAAACUCGAAGACAAAGAAUCUCGUCUUUAAAACCGUUUUUAUCCCAUAAACCAAUGAACAAUGUUUACCCCAGCGAAGGUCCUGGCCAACGUUCGAUAAGUAUAGAGGGUAAAUGAUAACUUCUUUAUGCCAAUUAGGAGUGAGCAAAAUUCGAUUCGACUCGAAAAAAUAAAAUAAAAAACUGGAAUUUCGAGUUAAAUGAAUCGGGUUAUUCGAGUCAACUCGAAUUUUUUUCAAAUUUCGAGUUCGAGUCGAGUUGAGUUUUUGAAUUCGACUAACUCAAAUAAUUCAAAUAUCAAACUAUAAUAUUUUACAUUUUUACUCCAAACUCUCAAACCUUUUUACUUUUCUCUCAAAACUUUUACUCCUUCCCACUUUCCCCUAAAAACUUUUACUCCCUUCCCAUCCCAACCCCGCAAUUUACCCAAAAUCCAUUUCCCACCAAAAUUUUACUCUCCAAUUUACUUUUUUUUUUCAAAAUUUUACUCCCAAAAACCCUCAAAACUUUUUUAUUUUUCCCCAAAAUUUUUACUCCCUCCCACUUUCCCCCUAAAACUUUUACUCCCUUCCCAUCCCACCUCCCAUCUACCCCAAAACCAUCCCUCCUAAUUUUUUUUAAUAUUUUCCCUCCAAAACUUUACUCCCCAUUUACUUUCCCUCAAACUUUUAUUCCCCAAAACUUUUUAUUUUCCUCCUAAACUUUUACUUUUCACCUUUUACUCUCAAAUAAAAAAUUAAAAUUAUCCAAAAAAUAUCACUAAACAUAAAUAGUAAUAAAUUUAUUUAUAUAUACUAUUUAUAUUAUUAAAUUAAAUUUCACAUUUUAUAUUAUUUAUAUUAUUGAAUUGUUUAGUAUAUUGAAUAUUUAUAUUAAAAUUAGAUUAUUAAUUAUGCCAUAAAAUAUUCGUGCUAAAAUUUUAUAUUGGUAUCAAUUUCACAUUUUAUAUUUAAAAUAACUUUUAUUAAAAAAUCACAUUUUUACAUUUACUAUAUUUUUUAAUUCUAAAAUACAUAGUGGUAAUAAUCUGAAGAUAAUUGAAACAACUAAGCAAGCAAAGAAGCUAACCCGUAUAUAAAAGAUUAAUAAAUAAAUUAUGAGGUGAAGAAAGUUAAUAAAAAAUUUGAUUAAGGUGGACAAAUUUUAUUAUGAUAGGUGACAGUGGUUACAAGGACCCAAAAUUAUUUUUUAAAAUUUAACUCGAACAAAUAUAUUCGAUUCGAUUCGAUUCGAAUUUCAUCUCACUCGACUCGAUUCAAGAAAAUUUCAAAUAAAAUUAGGAUGAUAAAAUAUGAUUCGUCAACUUGAUUAACUCGAAAUUUUUUCAUUCGAUUCAAUUCGAUUCGAUCGAACGCUCACCCCUAAUGCCAAUCCUUACAAGACUCGGCCAUCUUUUACUAUAACCUUUGUUUUAUUGUUUUAUUGCUUUUCCUUUCCCUUUUUUUUUCUAUUUUUGUACUUUUGUUUUUCUUUUUGGAUGCCUUUGCUGCAUUGUGAUAUGGUGUCUGAUCUUUGAACAGACUACAAACUUUUAACAUUGUGCAGUUGUAUUAGAAAUGAUCCUUUUUGACAUUACUUGUCAGCAACUUUUUUUUUUUGAGAUUUGAUGACUAUUGAUAUUGUAAUAUUGACAUAUGAAGCAACCUUCACCCUCUUCAUGAAGUAAUCAAUGACUACCAAGAUGAAUCGAUGUAUAUUAGACGAGAAUAGCCUGAUAACAUCCAUGCCCCACAUAGAGAAAAUCUGUGAAGAAAUGAAUGAGGCACAUGAAUCUUGUCUCCCUAAAUAUAGCCUAACUAAUGCAAUCCCCUUCCAUGGUGGAUCAACAGUACCCAAACCCUAUGAUUAGCGUGGCUACCCUGAAACCAUUAACAUGUGUCCUUCUGACACCCGUAUAGACAUUUUUUAGCGUCCAAAAUUUUUAGCAUCCUAAGUAUAUCUGACAUGAUUAUGCGAUAACAUCUUUGAAUUCUUGGAAUAACUCAAUGACGAUUUGCUUUGUCUUUGUGGUGACUCAAGCUUCAAUCUUUGCCUUUUGCUCACAAUGUCAAUUGAUCCUUCGUAAAGUAGGAUCCGUUUUUCAUCUUGUUCUACCGUCCUUAAAAAAUCGAGAAAUAAGUCACAAUCUCUGUCAUCUUUAAAGUGCUGAGAUCCACUUAAACACAUAUCUCACCCCAAAAGGGAGUUAGUUACAGCAUUGCUCAUGUCGUUGAUAUCUGGGGACCUAUUGUAGGUACAAAGGAAAAUUCCAAAGAAUAAAUGAUUCUAAGGAUGAUUAUUUGUAUGGUAUGAUCAUGAAUGAAGAAUGAAAGCAUAUUAAAAAAAAUAGUCCAAAGAACAAAAGAAUAUAUAAAGAAUGAAAGAAUAUUUACUAAAAAAAUACAUUUUAUUGAAAUAAAGAUUUUUGGACACAAGCCUAUUUCACAAAAGGAUUCUUAUUGCCCCUAGGCUUAAAAGCAACAAACGCGUUUUGAACAUUACUCUAGAUUAGCUCUAAAAAUACAGGGAUCUCUUCCACAGUCCCAUUGCCUAAAACACCCCCAAGUACAUAAGGGUUUGGAAACUUUUGUUCCCUGGACCUCUCUUUAAAUAUGUCAUUCAAAUUCUAUUUGAUAACUAUUGGUUACAGCCUUUGGUUGGCCUAUGUUGACCAAUUUAGAAGGCAUGCUCAUGAUUUUCACUUCAUUUUCCUUGUUCAUCGGGGUUGCCCUUUUAACGCUCUCUCCCACAUCUAUCUGUCCAUUUCUUACCGCGCUUUCAAUCAUCUCACCAGACAUUACUAUAUUUGAAAAGCUCAGAGUAGCAUUUCCCAACAUAUAGUUAAUGAACGGGGCUUUCAAAGUAUGGAUGAAAAGCAUCGUAGUCUCAUUUUCCAGAAGAGGCGGUUGGACUUGUGUUGCUACCUCUCUCCAUCUUUGGGCAUAUUGCCUGAAGCUCUCAUUUUGCUUCUUUUCCAUAUUCUGCUAGGUAAUUCUGUCGGGUGCCAUAUCUGCUAUAUGACUAUACUGCUUCAUAAAAGCUUGUGCUAAGUCAUUCCAUGAAUGGAUUUUAACACGACUCAAUUGAUUGUACCAUUUAGCUGCUGACCCGAUCAGACUGUCUUGGAAGCAAUGAAUUAAUAAUUGGUCGUUGUUAACGUACCCUGUCAUCCUUCGACAGAACAUUGUGAUGUGAGCUUCAGGACAACUAGUCUCAUUGUACUUUUCAAACUCUGAAAUCUUAAAUUUUGGCGGGAGUACUAGAUCGGGGACCAAACUCAAAUCUUUGGCAUCAAUCCCACAGUAGAAGUCAACAUUCUCUAUUGCCUUCAAUUUUUCCUCCAACCACCUAUACCGAUCCUCAAGUUGUCUUGGCAGUUCCCUCUUUACUUUUUCCAUUUCAUCCAAAUCAGGAGCUUCAAGAUUGGUUGGGUUGCCCUCUAGAUUGGAGGUUAAGCCUAUUGGGUAAUCUACUGGUGCCGAGGUACCAACUUGAUAUUGCUGAGUUCUGAUAACAACUACACCUUGUGGACAUGUCUGAACAUUUUUCGGGAUGAAACCUGGAGGGUUGUUCUCCCCAGCAUUAAUCAUGGAACUUUUUCGUUCUUCAAGCCCCUUAGUCAGCAAUUGGGACAACUGAUUCAUCACAUUCCUUUGAGACUCUAGCACCUGGUCUCUCAUAUCUUGUCAAAUCUUCACCAGUUGCUCUUGCAUCUGUAUUUGUAACUGGUCUUCCAUCUCUCUUUGAAGUUGUUCAAGUCUUUAUAAUCUUUGGUCCAUAUCUUUUGUCUUAGCAUGGGUACCGUAACAACGCUUGUUUGGUAAGUUUUUAUUGGUUUCCAAAUUAACUGAAAUGAUUUUAACUAAUUAGAGACCCUUUUUAUAAAAAUCUAAUUCAAAUGAUGCAACGAUGUAAUGCAAUGCAAAUGCAUGGGAUGAAUGCAAAAGAAAGAAAUGUGUUGAUUUUGAAUUUAAUUCCAUUAGAAAAAUUUUUCUAGAAAACAAAUUCCUUUACAUAAAACGGAUUACAUAUACGGCCUUACUUUCAUAUUCCAGGUGAAGACACUAAUCCCUUUUCUUCGUGAAAGUUAAAUUUCACAAGCUUUUAAUAAAUGCCUCCACUAGCUCCCUUUUGCUUGAUCCAGGCCGCAACUUAUUAUCCUCGCGAUGUUGAUUAGCUCCUUUAAGAAAAUCGAGACGUGACAACUCUCGAAUAAUCUUUAUCGGCUUGAAUUCUCCGGUAAAGUCUUGCUUUCCUCCGUGAACCAUCAACCUUUUUCGGUUGUGUUUACUUGGACCAUAUUCAGACAACCGUAUUAUAAUCCACUUUAUUAAGAAAUUUGUUUUCUUAGGACAAACUAUUCUAUUUAGCAAUCAAAUAUGAAUCAACACCUCCUUUCUAUGAUGAUGUAAUGCAAUGCAAUUAUAAACAAAAAAAAAACAAAACACGUUAGUACAGAAGAAAUAAAUAACAAAUAAAACACAUAUUCGGGUGACCACUAAAUUUGGGCAAGGUUCUACCUAAGGUGGAUUCUCGAGGUUCACUAUAUGUGGCUUGGUUCUAGAGAAAGGGUACCUGAACCAGUAGGUUCCUCAAUCCUCACCCAUUAUAGGCUCAUAUGGAUUGAGUUCAGUUCAGGGGAAUACAUUUCCCUAUGAUCAUGUAGAGAUGAAAAUCUCACGAAAUCAUAGGUAUGGAUGUAUCCCGGAAGUAAUCUACUAACCCAUGCGGAGGUGAAAACCUCACGAAAGCAUAGUUUCUUACUCCCACUUAACAGGUAUAACCACAGCGGUAAUGCAAUGCAAUGCAAUAUUAUUCUACAAGACCUGAACCACAAUAAUCAUACAAACAAAUGCAAUCAAAAGAAUCAUGAUUUUCAAAACAAAUUUUCAAUUCUUUGCCAAAAGGACAACAAAUAACCAAUUUUAUGGCUUGACUCUCUUGUUCAAUCCCCAGUGGAGUCGCCAAGCUAUCGAAACCAUUUUUUAUUUUUGGAAAAAAAGGGAUCGACUUUUAAAACCAAAUGUGGAGUCGCCACCAAUCUUUUUGUUUAAGUGUGAUUGAGUCACCUAAUAAAACAUUUUGUUUCAUUCAAAUCAAUUUUGGUCCACGUAAAUUUAAAAAAAAAGGGUUCGGGAGCCGGUUACGUGUGAAGAAGGGUUAGCACCCUCACUACGCCCAAAAACUGGUACCAGAUUGAUUAAGUGUUGUCCUUAUGUCUAAGGUUUUUAAAAAAAGUUGAAAUAUGGUUCCUUUUAAAACAUUUGAGUGGCUCAAGUUGGUCGUCAAAAUUCUCUCAUUUCAAAGGUAUAUAGCAUCACAUCCAGCACGAUAGGACACGAUCCUUUAUACCUUUGAAAACACGAUUGAUUUUUUACUCCCAAAAGCUCUUAGGUUGAAAAUUACAAAAGGGAUGUUCAAUUAUUUAGUCCAACGAAAAAUCGAAACCCAGUACGGUAGGGCACGACUUCCCGAGUUUCCAAAUAUUGAACAUUGCAUUUGUUUUAAUGAAUUUUCCAAUAAACAAUUAUGAAACCCGCUCAAAAUGCAUUUAUUUAGUUCGUUUGGGAUAUAAAAGAACAAAACAAUUAAAAAUUGGGCCCAAAUACGUGGGAGACAAAACAUGGUAUCAAGCAUAGCACAAAUAUAUGUGAAUUCAACAUAAAAUUACACUAUUGAAUAACAAAGAUAACAAUGCGAACAUACAAUUUGACAUAUACAAUAAUGACCUCCCAUCCCUUCAUAUUGAAGUAAUAUUAACAAUCAAAGCCUAAUGAACUUCCUUUUUCGAAAAUAUAUAUUUUAUAACAUUUACAUGGAAAAUUAAUAAAAUGUAAAACAAAUUUUGAAGGGUAAUAAAAGAAUUUAAAAAAAAUGAAGGGGAAAAAAAUUGAAACCAAUACAUGUAUGUAAUUUUAAACUAAAUUAUAUGUACAAAAGUUUUAAAAAUAGGCAACAUGAGGGAAUUCAAAAUAAAGUUUGAAAUCAAUGAAAUACAAAACAAUCUGAAUUAAAAUUGAUAACAUACAUAAAAUGCAAAACUUAAUAAAAUUAAUAUAUAUAUAUGUAUAAAAAUAAGAGAUGAAAGUGUUAAUAUAUAUAUUAUAUAAUAAAGUAGGCUCUUUAAACGAGCUAGCUUAUGUAAUUAAAUUCAAGAAGUGAUAUAUACAUAAAAUAAUAUGAAAUCAACACUAUAUAUAAAAAAUAAUGUAUAAUAUAAUUUUUAAAAUAAUAUAUAAUGUAUAAUGUAUAAAUUUUGAAAACAAAAAUACAUGUAUAAAGAAAAUUUCAAAAUAGAAAUUUUACAUAAUAGAACAAUUUAAAGAAACAAUUAUACAAAUGAAUGAAAAAACAAAUUAAAGCAAUAUUUAAAAAACUAUGUUAAGAUAAUUUUAAAAACAAAUAAUAAAAUCUUAAAUAAAAAUGAAUAAAACAUAAAUUAAAAAAACUCCAUUGAAAUAAAAAUAAGAUUAAGAGGACAAUUUAUAAACAAAUAAAAUUAAUAAAACCAAAGAUUAGACUAAGAUGAAACAUGCACCAAUGGUCAGGGAUCUAAAAUAAAAAUAUCCCAAGCUUUGAAACGCUGCAUUUAAACAAGGACCAAAUUGCAGCAAUGCGUAAAUCACAGGGAAAAUGUAAAAACAAAUAAACAGAAUCAAGGCCGAAAAACAGAUCAAUGCAGGAUAGGAGGGACUCGUCGCACAAAUUGACCUUUCAAGGUGAAAAGGAGCGGAUCCGGGCCUCCAAACGGGUCAACGCGCGGAUCUUUGUUUCCAAACGGCACCGUUUCACUUUGUUAACACCAGAUCAAAAGAAAGGAAAAGAAAACCCUAAAAUUAACACUCAUCCACUUAAAAGCAAAUAAAAAAAACUUAAAGCUUAUUCCCCUUUAUUCAUUCGGUCGAACUUAGGACAUCUUUCAACUGCCGAUCUAUCCCCAUAUUCGGCAAAUGAACAUCGCAUGAAGGCCUAAUUUGGCCUUGUUAGACCACGAGUCCACUCAGAAGCUUCAAGAUCCUCGCUUAAGCUUUGAUUACGACGAAGCAAGCAAGGACAUGAAGGAGCCAGCAUUAAGGUAAGUCCCUUUCUCCUUAUUUUUCUGUGAAAAAUCUAUAUGUAGGAACAAAGAAAAAAAAAACUAAAUCAGAACACGGAAAAAUAAAUAUGAAAUCACCUUAGUUUUUCAUUGCUUUUUCUUUUGUAUCUAGUAUUUCGUAAUCCCCAUUUUUACAGAUUACAUUCGAUUUUAUAGCCGAAGAGAAGAAAAAAUAAGAAUAAAUCAAAAAAAUCCAAUUUCCUUGCUGUCAUUUCUGUUUCUCGUGUAUUCUGUUGCAGGUACGAACGGAGCCAGCUAGAGGUGGUGACGCACGUGGGAUGAGACAUGAAGACACAUGUGGGGCUGGUACGGAGGCAGCAGCGGUUUGGUGGAAGCUGCUGGAAACCAGUUACGACACAAGGGAAAGGCACCUUAGGGUUCCAAAAGUUUCAAUUUGCUUGGGCGAUUUAGGCUAAUUUCGAAAUUGGGCCAUUGGGUCUAUAAAUUAAAUUUAGCUUGGGUAAUAAUUUGGGCUAAAAACUUGUAUUUGGGUCUGGUGAAAAUUGUAAUGAAUUAUUUCGGAUUUUGGGCUUUAAUUUAAUUUGGGACUUUUAUUAUUUUUUUAUAUUUUGGUUUUUUUUUUAUUAUCUUUUGGGUUCAUAGUGGGCCGGACAAACUGAGCCUGCUACAAGGGUGUUACAGCCAGAGCUGGUAAAAUUCACUUUUUAGAAAAUAAUUUCGAAUUAGUUUCAAAAAUAAUUAAUAAUUUAACUCGUUUUAGGAAAAAUAUCAGUUUAAUUAAGUUAUCUUGUUAUUUUAAUUUUAGUUCCAAAGUUGUUAGAAAAAUCAUAUUUAAACAAUUUU
This 11637-nucleotide long non-coding RNA is filed under the name Gossypium barbadense (sea-island cotton). RNAcentral's name for it is "long non-coding RNA (GBAR_LNC006704)". Lineage: Eukaryota; Viridiplantae; Streptophyta; Magnoliopsida; Malvales; Malvaceae. The record is from RNAcentral.